CCUCCACUAGCAUACCUAAACACCACACUUCAUGCCAUUUCAGUACACAUAUAGGCAAUUACAACAUGCCAAAUUCAUAUACAAAUCAAGCCUUUAUAUCAUAAUCCAACUCAAAACUCAAAACUCAACCUUAAACAUAUCCAAAGCAACAUAUCAUUAUCAAUAAUUUUACCUAUCUUCCUUAUGCAUUUUUCUCAAUCUUUCAUCAUCUAAAUCAUGCUUCUCCAACAUAUCAAUUCAUUAUCUAUACUUCA
RNAcentral lists this long non-coding RNA (254 nucleotides) under Gossypium barbadense (sea-island cotton). Its description in RNAcentral is "long non-coding RNA (GBAR_LNC004413)". The record is from RNAcentral. Lineage: Eukaryota; Viridiplantae; Streptophyta; Magnoliopsida; Malvales; Malvaceae.